This 506-nucleotide ribosomal RNA is filed under the name uncultured bacterium. RNAcentral describes it as "partial 16S ribosomal RNA". The record is from RNAcentral.
GGAGUUAGCCGGUGCUUCUUCUGUGAGUGAUGUCCUUCCUGCCGGCUAUUAACCCGCAGGCCUUCUUCCUCACUGAAAGUGCUUUACAACCCGAAGGCCUUCUUCACACACGCGGCAUGGCUGGAUCAGGGUUGCCCCCAUUGUCCAAUAUUCCCCACUGCUGCCUCCCGUAGGAGUCUGGGCCGUGUCUCAGUCCCAGUGUGGCUGAUCAUCCUCUCAGACCAGCUACGGAUCGUCGCCUUGGUGAGCCGUUACCUCACCAACCAGCUAAUCCGACAUAGGCUCAUCCGAUAGCGCGAGGCCCGAAGGUCCCCCGCUUUCCCCCGUAGGGCGUAUGCGGUAUUAGCCUGGGUUUCCCCAGGUUAUCCCCCACUACCGGGCAGAUUCCUAUGCAUUACUCACCCGUCCGCCGCUCGCCACCAGGGAGCAAGCUCCCCGUGCUGCCGAUCGACUUGCAUGUGUUAGGCCUGCCGCCAGCGUUCAAUCUGAGCAGANACAACUACUGA